CAGUAGCCGCGGUAAUACGUAGGUCCCGAGCGUUGUCCGGAUUUAUUGGGCGUAAAGCGAGCGCAGGCGGUUAGAUAAGUCUGAAGUUAAAGGCUGUGGCUUAACCAUAGUACGCUUUGGAAACUGUUUAACUUGAGUGCAAGAGGGGAGAGUGGAAUUCCAUGUGUAGCGGUGAAAUGCGUAGAUAUAUGGAGGAACACCGGUGGCGAAAGCGGCUCUCUGGCUUGUAACUGACACUGAGGCGCGAAAGCGUGGGGAGCAAACAGGAUUAGAUACCCCAGUAGUCCCUGUCUCUUAUACA
Molecule: ribosomal RNA, 301 nt
Filed under: uncultured bacterium
Lineage: Bacteria
Description: partial 16S ribosomal RNA
Rfam family: Bacterial small subunit ribosomal RNA
Source: RNAcentral